UAUUUUAAGUAAUCAAAACAACAGGUGUGUCCUCCUCAACGCACCGCUCUGCCUAACCGUCUAUUUCUUGUCAUGUGAAUGCACCACAGCUCUCCCACUGCCAAGGUGACCACCAUCCAGCCCAGUAAGUGCCAGCAGCAUUGCAACUCAUUUAGUCAGUGGCCCAGGGACGUAUCACACAGCCCCGGUCCUGAUUACACAUGAUCAAAGAUGGAUUAUUCAACAGUUUGAUUACAUAUUUGAGCUUGAAUAAAGUCCACAUGCCUGUGAAACGACUAAUUGAUUGGAAUUAUGACUUUUAUGAUGAUUUAAUACAACAAUUGAAAUGUUCUUCGGGGUUGACCUCCGUCAUUGGAGUUGCACUACAGUAUGUGCUGCAUUUGAUUACAGGGAAAGUUGAUUAUCAGAAAAUAUGGUGCAUAUGAAGUGAUUUUCUGCCCUAAGUAAUAUUAUUCUGUAUAGUUAGAGCUGAAAAAAAUAUGACAUGGGGACUUCAGUCAAGACAAAAUGCACGAGCUAAUGAGACUGGUUAGAGAUUCAAAUUUAUGGAAAUUGUAUUAAUUACAGAAACUUCUUUCAUCCGUACCAUUUAGUGGUGAAGUAAUUAAAAACCAACAAUGACAGUCCCAGCAGUGGAGGAAGCAAACAAGAUCAAAUAAAGUGGAGCCUUCACCAGAAAGUAGAAUGAGAGCUGAACUGGGCAUGGCCACGGGCAACAGGGUCUCAUUAAAGUCAGCCUGUGUUGAUCAGCAAUUAACCUGCUUUGUGUUGCCUCUGAUUGAAACUUGCACAACGCCGUUUUAAGGUUUAUGCAUAAUGUUUGUCUGGAGAUGACCAAGAGGAAGCGCUGCCUUCGGUCAUUUACAAACAUUCUUUGAUUGGUUGAUUGGAAAAGGACGAUUGAUUGUUGAGUCAACUGGCCUCAAUACAUAGUGAAUAAUGUCUUUAUACAUGAAGACAUCUUGAUACUAUUAACAUGACCACGAUCAGAUGUGGAGGAUGAUCUUCUAAAUGAUGUAAAACAAUGUGUAGGUAAGACAGAGAUUUCAGUUUUAGCUUUUGUUUUCGUUAUUAUUAAGUGAUAAUAAGAGCAAAGGAUGUUUGAACCAAAAUGAGAUGUUACAAACAUUUAUCACUUGUCCAAGGUCUGAGGAAAGGAUGCAAAUACAUACGCAUACCUAAUUAAAUUAAAUCUGUGCUAAUUUGAUUUUGAGGUGAGGAAGAAGUAAUCUUACCUUUAGUGAUGGAAAUUAUUAUUAUAUUAAAUUAUUUCCAAAUGAUGUUCUUGAAUGCUUAACUUUACUGUGCGUCAUGUAAUGUAAGUGGCUAGUGCUUUUUCAGGAACUGCACUAAAUAAGAACACUUCCUUUUACACUGUUUUCAUUUGAAAAGUUUUUUUAUUUUUAUUUAAGGAAUGCCGUAUCCUGAUUUUACCAGAAGUCUUUACCUGACUCAAACUCUGAGGUGAAGACAAUCACUCAAAGCGGUCGAGUGGAGUUUCCAGGCGCUGACAAAGAACCAUCAGAGACCCGACGCCGCGGACAACAAACGCAUGGCCAGUCUUAAAUUCUAUUAUGAGCGGUGAAAGUCAUAUUUAAAAUGAGAGAUUAGCCACUCAUCAUAAUAUUGGCGGAUUACUACCUGCGAUGAAAGCAACCCCCUGGUUCUGGGUCGAUAAGAGUUUGACUGCAUUUCGAAUUAAUUUUCCUCCGCUUAAAGAGCUGGAAUCCUAUCUUGUUAUUGAUCACUGCGUUAAUCCAUAACCAAGCACUCCUUUCCCCCACGGAAAGAGCGGUAUAAUAUAAAACGAUUUCUCUUGACAGCGUGUAUAAAAACAGACUUAGAAGUGAUUAGGGUGCAUUAUUAAAGAACGUGUUACCAGAAUAUUUUUUCGUAAUUUUUUACGUUUUUUCGUAUCAGUUCAUUUCGUAUCUGCAGUUGUCAUUUUUUUAAACAAUUUUGUUUAAAACAAAACAACAGUGGUUCUGUUCUGUAUUCCCUUUGGUCUGGAUCGUGAUUGAUUGAUUUCCCCGACAGGAGGAGCACUUCACACCUCGGCUGCUUUUCUCUGUUUGUCUUUUCCAACAGAGGGACCUCCGCAGUGGAUGAAAUUUAGCCCCAACCUCCGACCUUUGGGUCCAGUGUUUGUCUCCAGUCCAGUGACCACAAACAACUCUUGAAUUGCUGUAAAUGUCAGUGCAGCAAUGUCUGCACCAUUCUGUCCUGUGAACCCCGCUGCACUCAACCGGCACCGACAGGACACUUUCCUUUAUGCUGAAUUGAUAUAUCAGCUUUCCUCCCUUUGUCGCCUCUGUCAACUGAGCGACUGUCAUCAAGCAAAGAGCAACGAGGGAAUGUUUUUACAAAGCUUUAUUUUAUUCGGCUCUUCAACCUUUUAAAUUUGUAAUUUGCAGCACUUCAUAUGAAAAUAUUAUUUAAAUUAAUCUCAUUUUGGGAAUUCAAGAUUUUUGUUUUCCUGCCUAAAGAGUGCAGGAUGAGUUACUGGAAGUGAACCGUUUAGCAUACGAAACAGCUCGCACCCUCCGUCAAAAAGCUCAAAUAUAACAGAUUGUGAUGUUCUGAAGACAUUGGUUGUAAUGUGUCCGGCUUUGAAGUACUUUGUUUGACCCUUCCCCCCACCCAUAAACAUAUCCACUCCUCUGCAGGCCUCCCGAGGUUGGUGUCUCUGCGUUAGGACUCUAUUGUUGCCUACUGCUGGAUAAGGCCCUUAUUAAUUGUACCUCUUUGUAAGGUGUCAGCUGUAGCCCCCGAUUGAGAUGGAUGGAUCUCUGGAGUCUGCUCCCUGACCCUCCACAGACCCUCUAUCUCUGCACAGCACACAGUUACAACAUUCUGCUCUGGAACAACACGGUAUCCACACAAGCAGAAGGAGACUGAAGUAGAGGGGAAAAAGCGCCGACCAGAAAAUGGAGAUCCUCUCCCUUCAGAUCCCAUUUAGAGAGGCCCUGCUCAUUUUUAAAGUGUCAAUUGUUUUUGUCUCUUGAAGUGUGGAUGGAAUGUUUGAAUUCCAGUAUUAACUGUAGUGCCUGCUGAGUUAAAUUAUGGUCCCUGGGCUGUGGGGUGGAAGUAAUCAAUAAGAAUACACAAGGCAGUGUGUAAUGUGUCUGCUCCUAGCAGCAGGGACACUGUCCCCCUUACCCUGUCCCCCAGCAGGUUAGAUAAAUAUGAUACUGAAACCAGGCACACUGGAUUAUAUGAUAUCAAUGUAGAAUCAGGGAAGUGCUAUUACGCUCCCCGAGCCCACUGUGAGUACUAUUGACAAGGUUGGCUUUGAACAUGGGAGCGUAUUGCUCUCUCUUCUCGCCCUCGCUCUCUUCUCUCUCUUUCUCUCUCUCUCUCUUCAUGUGUGGAACUGCAGGAAUAAAGGGAUCUAUAUUUCACUUAGCUUUGAUUAAAAUGGCUAUUUUAUGCCCAUGGCUUGAAGACGUCUUUAUCGCACCCACAAGUUAAUCUGUGAAGGGUGUGAUGUGAUCUAAAUUUCCAGAUGUUUUUUUACAUGAAGAGCCAAUAAUGUAGAAUCAAUGUACAAUUGAUUUGAUUUUUUAACGCCCUGCGACAUAAGUGCUCUUGACAUUUUCCUAUUGAUAACUGUAUAUUUUCUCUUUCUCGCGUUGAUGUUGCCAAAUGUCCGACCAAUUAACUAGCGUGCCAAUGUUGUUGCCCGGCUGCCUGCCAGUUGCUCGUACAGUAACCUCAUAUCACUGAUCUACUCACGCUAUUGAUUAACUCUCCCUCCUCCGCGGUGAAAGGAUCAAACCUGGCAUGUCUAAAAGGCCAUUAUCAGCGUCCACUUCACAUAUCUGCCACAACCUGAUACAGACCCUUUCACAGGUCGCAACCUAUCUGCCCUCUGCAGCCAUCGUACCUCCUCUGACCCCCCCAACCAUCAUUAUCAUGCUCGUGUUAAAUGACAUACAGGUCAAGAAAAUGGCACCGUGUUGAUGUCUCACAUGUGAAUAAUCCAUGCAUCGCUGCAAAAUGUCAAGCUUCUGCUUUAACAAAUAGAUUCUACCAUAGUGGCCAAUGACAAUGUAUUAAAAAAAACUGUCCGAGAUGGAGCACAUUCUCUUGAUUAAAUUGGAGGUGCAGGUGUAAUUUUCAUAGCCUGUGGCAUUUUGUUUAAAUGUGUCAGGUCCUAAAUAUCACUACAGUUUAUGAAGCAUUAUUUCUAGAAACACUUUCACAGUGAGACAAAAUCACUUAAAGGUUUAAAGCAGAAUUUCAUUUGUACACUUAAUUUAGACAUUCAGUCGUCCCUUUAUUUCAAUUAAAACCCUAACAAGUGUUCUGGGGUCUUGAUUUGUUGCACUGUUACAAUUUCCAAAGUGCUUUUUUAAAUUUUUUAUUCUGAGCCAAAUCUAGAUAUUAAAGUUUUUUUUUUUUAGGCCAGGUAUUAGUCACAUCGCGGUUGCUUUCACACAAAAGAAUUGCCAGAAGCUAAUUUGCAGAGUCAAGCUCCUGAUGGAAGUUGUGCAGCAUCCCCGUCUCUUAGCAACACUCUUCCCCCUUGGUGUCUGUGUUGAAUUGACUGGUCUUUGGCACUCAUCUUUCACCAAGAAAAUUCAUAAUGAAAUACCACCUGACAACCUGCCUCCAUCACCGAGAGGCACUCCUCGCUUUCCUCCUGGGUGACAGUAUUUUUACACUGGCAUCAGUAAACGUUCAGCAGAGAAGAACGCUGCUUUUCACUCAUAUUUGCAGGCGACUUUUGGUUUAAGGAGGUGGAUAAACAUGUUUAUUAAGAAUUGUAUCAAGAUUAGAGGCAAAUUAGCAGGUAAUUGGAGACACCUGCCAAACAAAGGGGAGGAUGGUGGAGGUGGUGGUGUGGAGCACGAUGAAGGAAGGUAUUGGUCUUCCGGGCUGGCCUCCGCCCAUUUAUUGGUGGGUGUGGGAUGAGGGCAUUUAGAAAGAGGGGAUUUGGUAUGACGUUUUGAGAAAAUGACUUUUGUCCUCUUUCGUGUUGACAGCAUCCAGAUGCUGCCAAGAAAUGUUAAUAGAGUGUCACCUUUCGGACAAUAUCACUGCCUUUCACAACUGCCCCCGUACUCCAAGCGCGACGCUUUCUUGGUCAAAAGAAGGAAUGCGCUGCAAUUACUGUUUUUUUUGCAAUGGCAUUCAGCCACAGACUAUACUGCAAUUAUCGCUCUGCUGAUGAUUUCCAUCAUCUUAGUCACAUGUGGUCACAUGUGGUCUUUGCCCAGCACAUUUGAACUUUCCGUGAGAGGUGAAAUCCGUACACAUGUAUCGCCCACUCCUUUACAUCUUCCUCGUCCUUUUAUAGUCACACAUGUCGUCGUCUUCUUCCUCUCCGCUUCGAAGUCACGACAGGUGCCGCGCGGACAUUAAACCCGCCGCUUUGUGUUUUACAGCGCGCCGCGUUUCACUGCCUGUGCACAUUUCAGCUUUCCACAUCCACGCACCGUUUAACCGGCUCCCGGCACUGCUACUCUAUAAUAAUCUAAAUUAUUUCAAAACAUUUCUAAUUUAUUUCAUAGUAUUAUUAUUAUUAUCAAAUUAUAUUUACACAUUUAAAUAUGAAAAUAUAAUGGGUUUUUUAGGUCGGGCAGAGACGUGUUCGAUUCAGGUUUCAGAAAUAUAAAUGUGAUAUCUGUGCUGUUAUAAAAUAAUAAAUGCUAAAUACAUAAAUAAAUAAAUAAACGGCAUGAAGCUCAUUCACCCAGACUACUGUUGACACAAAUUGUGACAGGUCGGUAUUUUUACCGACUGAGAGCCAAAGGACGAAGAGGCAUCUAAAUACAUUUGUUUUUUCUUACAUGUAGCUCAACUUGUUUUAUUUACAUUUUAAAUAGUUCAUCGUCCAUUGGGAAAAAUCGACGGAAUUUGCUCUCACCCGCGUCUCAAUAUAUUAAUUGGUGUAUUUAAAAAAAGAAGAAGAAGGCAAAAUAAACUGUCUGUGCUGACGCGGAACUUCCCCUCUCGGUGCGCAUCGCGCGCGCUGCCGCUCCGUGUCCGACAUCCCGAGCGCGCAGGCGGGGGUUUUUCUCCCCUCUUUGCUAUUUCUCGCUGCCAGGGGUCGUCCGGUUCUGUCGCACGCUUUUAGUGACUUCAUCAUAACCAAAUGACUAAUUGUCACCCUUUAAUUGCGAUUUAAUUUGAUCCCUCAGGCCCCUGCAAAUCCGUGUAAAAUAACAGAAUAGAUUGCUGCCAAUAGCGCACCUUUGGUGAAUCCUAUUGAUUGAUGCACGAGAGAGAGAGAGAGAGAGGUAGAGGGAGCGCACCUGCCUCUAUCUGUCCAUCUCGGGAUUUAGAAUGAACACACCAAGUGGCUCUAAUUUUCUGAGACGUUCAGGGAUGUGUCUCAAUUGGGACUGAGAUCAGGGGCUGUGAUUGUCUAUUGCUUUAGAUUGGCUCGUUCAGUGCAAUUCUCGAAACUUUUAUUGCAAUCCACCGAUUGUAAUGAUGGAGAGCCCUCAAUGUGGCAGCACUGAUUACAUCAGCCUGUCUCUACCUUUCUUUCAUCUCGGCUAUGUAUUCCGUGCACCACCAAUAGCUAAAGCUUUCACGAGCUCGCCAUUACUGACCGAAAGAUAAACGAUCUGAUCUGAGUUUUUAUUCUGCUCGAUAAUCUGUUGACCUCAUUGCAUAAUUUGAAGAUCCCCAAAAAGAUGGAUUCAAACUAUGGCCAGAUGUUUACAUUAUGCUUUGAAAUGACUACGCUCGUUUCCUAUUGGCCGUUGAUCUUUGUAAUUACAGAUUUACUUUUCAAAAGAGCACGAGGCUCCUCUUCACCAGUUGCGAAAUUAUUUUCCCAUGCAAAGUUACCAGCGGUGUAAAAAGUAUUCAGAUCAUAGUUUAGUUGAAGUAGAAAUGCUGUUCACAUUUCAGAAAAGGCCCCUUGUAAUAAUUAUAGAAUUUAAUUAUUUUACUCACACAUUAUUAAAUAUUGUUUUUAUUUGUAAUGCUGCAUUCAAUCUAAUGAGAUAAUUUUAAUAAAAGAGAAAAGUCUGUGAAGUCUAUUACAACUGCAUAAUCGUAGAAUUCAAGUAAAUCCCUCUGAAAAGUAGAAGUAGAAAGUAUUGCCGUUUUCUAAGUUCUUAAAUUGACUUAGUUUCAGCUAUAAAACUAGGUUUCGUAAACUAUGCGGAAUCAAAUUAUUCUUCCUACAGUUCCCACCGGUGUUUGUAUGAAUGGAUUCAUACAGACACGCACACGACACAGAAGUCUUAUCUGCAAAUUUUACAUAACCUUGAACCAAAAACCAAAUGACUUAUUGUGAUAAAUGGACUUGUAUAUUAGUUUAUUCAUCAAAUUAUAACAUUGGAUCACAAUUACUGAUACGUUGAUUUAGCAUGUUUAGGUGGUAAAGCACAACCUCAUGUUGUUUAAAAUUUACAUUUGCAAGUCAUUUUAACACUUAUGUUUAGAGUAAAUGAAAUGAAAUACCAGUACGUCAAAAUUGUGCUUAAGUAGCUGAGUAAAUGUACUUAGUUGCUUCCCCCCACUGCAGCUGACAAUAAAUCACACUCAUGUGUCUGCAGGCUAUGAUCACUAUCAGCAUGUGAUUUCCAGCAUGUUCUUGUGAGAAGCAUCCCUGUGACAUAUGGAGAUGCUUCCUUCCACAGCCACACCUGACUGAUCCUCUCUCCUCUCUCUCUCUCUCUACACAGAUAAUAUCACACAGCUGACUGCGACAAGAUUCCCAAAUGGCUCUCCCUUACAGUGAGACAUGUCAUCUGACCAUGUCGCCCCUGCUAAAUCCAAAUAUUGUGCAUUGUUGGUAAAGAGAGGGGUCAGGCAACUUGUGCGUCGUGUUUUCCAGGCUCUGUUCUCUAAUUAAGUAUUCAUGAAACAGCAGUGGGAGCAAAGCGUAGGUUUACACCGGCGGUCGGGACGGCAUCACCCCCCACUUCCCAUGUGUAAUGCCCCCCCCCACACACUCCCCCCCGGCAGGCAGACAGGCCAUCAUUCCUAGUGUACUCACAGCAAUGAUAUCAGAAAGGUUUUUUGGUCAAGCCAAAGAGAGGUCACUCUAAUAAUACCCAGGGUCAGUGGUGGGAGCCGGCGAGUCUCCCAGUCAUUAUUCAUUUGUUCACAGAGUUAAUGACAGUUGCAGGGGGACGAGAACUUUGAGCCAGCAGCCAUGUGAUGUCACCAACACAUGCCAAGGGAUUAGGAGGGCAGGCAGGGGACAAGAAGUGUGGAUUAUACAGGGAAAUGAAACCACAGCAACAAUCUUUCCUGCUCCGUCAACCAACUCUGCAUGUUUGCUGCUGGAGUUAUGACAGACGCACACCACAGAUGUCACUAAAUUAUGACAAUUGGCUCAUAUUGUAGCAACAGCGUUGCCGAAUAAAGGAAUAAAAUAAACGGCGUCCAUCAUGUCCAAGUUGAUGAUCCUUUUGGGAGUUGUUUAACAUAUUUAACGUCAUCAGAGUAGUUCUUUUUUCUUAAAACCAAACACCGUCAUUAAUUUACAGUUCUUUGGUUAAACCGCUAUGUGAAUGUUUUCGUUGUGGAAGGUAAUUGCAAAUAUUUCAGGGUUUUUUUUAAGCAAAUGACAAAAUGUGAUAGUCGACCCAUCAUGUUUUAGAGCUAGUGUAACAACCCUGGCGGAUAAACUGGAGACUGUGGCUUUUACAGCGAGAGAAUGAACAAUGAACACACCUUAUUCAGUCAGUGGGCCGGCAGCGCAGAGUGAACAAUGAACCCCUCCCUCUGUCUAGCACCAUGUCUGAUAAUGACCACAUCCACCAGCCGCUGAUAGCGCUCUUCUUUUAUGACCUACAUGUGCAUAAAUACGGCUCAGAUAAAACAUCCCGGGGAGGACAUUGACGAUAUGACCAGCUGUGCACGAACUGCAACACAAACGGUGUUUUCUUUGAAGCAAAAACAGUUUUACAUUCUGCACCAAAAACAAUCCAUAUGUUGUUCUAUCUAAACGGCAUUUAGUUAACAUAUUUAUUGCAAAGCAACUGUAAAAGGGAGUUGCGCACUUUAUCUUUGAGUAACAUCUGCUGAAUAAUUAGAAGGAAACUAAUGUGCAUUUUGACGAAUAAUAAUGCAGAACCCCCCCCCCCCCCCCGAUAUGGCCUUUGUCUCAAGACAUAACAUGCAGAUACAGUAUAUUCCCUGUUUAAGCAAAGGGCCAGAGUAUAAAUAUGAACUGCAUUUUGCAUUACUUUCAGAUGAGUGAAGCUGUCAGACCAAUAAUUUGAGCUUUCAGUCGUACUUUCUGCCACUUAUCCCCUAUUCUAGGACCAAGGGGUCAUGUGAAAAUUGAAAGUGACAGUCAAACCGACAUGUUGAACAGGCCGAUUCGACUAAGCUGUCACGGCCCAGAUCAGAGCUCUUUAACACCGGGACCAUCAGACGUCUUUCUGUUGGAGCGAACCAACGCAGGCCAGCGUAUGAGAAAUAUAAAAUACUUUACAAGGAAAAGAGCACAUCACUAAUCCAUGAAAGGAAGAGGCUGAACACCCACACCAAAUCUACAUUAUGAACUAGAAAUGCAAUUGACUAGAAGUUUCAGGAAGUCGGAAAACUUUAAAUAAUCCUACAAACAGGAAAAACAAAAGCCUCAGAGUUCACCGAGGGUCUUUUCUCUCCGACAGAAGUCAGCUCUCGUUUUCCACUUUAAGUCCUGUGUUUUUCUUUCUUUGUGGUCGUUUGAAUGAAAAUGUUUGUAUCACCUGUUCUGCGGAUUAUUUAAUGAGCGCGUUAUGCUGUCACAUGAAAGAUUUUUUUACUUCAUCAAAAAAAUUCUCUGUCAAUUUAUAUUUAGUUUCAUGUGCAGCAUUGCAUGAAUCCUAGACGUAAGAAAUCAGCUCGCCGUCAUCCAUUCAGAGGGUAAUAAAUCACGUCAUUAUCACUUUUA
Molecule: non-coding RNA, 9856 nt
Organism: Gasterosteus aculeatus aculeatus (three-spined stickleback)
Lineage: Eukaryota; Metazoa; Chordata; Actinopteri; Perciformes; Gasterosteidae
Source: RefSeq, a predicted model, not a curated record